CCCUUAGAUGUUUUGGGCCGCACGCGCGCUACACUGACUGGUGCAACAAGUGUCGCUCCUUGGCCGAUAGGCCUGGGCAAUCUUUGAACGCCAGUCGUGAUGGGGAUAGAUUCUUGCAAUUUUUGAUCUUCAACGAGGAAUUCCUAGUAAACGCGAGUCAUCAACUCGCAUUGAUUACGUCCCUGCCCUUUGUACACACCGCCCGUCGCACCUACCGAUUGAAUGGUCCGGUGAACCCUCCGGAUCGGCUCGCGCCAACGCAAGUUGAGCAAAGGCCGAGAAGUUGGGUAAACCUUACCAUUUAGAGGAAGGUGAAGUCGUANCA
RNAcentral lists this ribosomal RNA (325 nucleotides) under uncultured eukaryote. Its description in RNAcentral is "partial 18S ribosomal RNA". It matches the Rfam family "Eukaryotic small subunit ribosomal RNA", at positions 1470 to 1796 of the family's 1831-position model. The record is from RNAcentral.